AUGAGUUUGAUCCUGGCUCAGGAUGAACGCUAGCGGCAGGCUUAAUACAUGCAAGUCGUGGGGCAGCAGCCCCGUAGCAAUACGGGGGCUGGCGACCGGCAAACGGGUGCGCAAUACGUACGCAACCUUCCUUCGAGCGGGGAAUAGCCCAGGGAAACUUGGAUUAAUACCCCAUAAUAUAAUGAAAAGGCAUCUUUUUAUUAUUAAAGCUCCGGCACUUGAAGAUGGGCGUACGGCUGAUUAGGUAGUUGGCGGGGUAAUGGCCCACCAAGCCUGCGAUCAGUAGCUGAUGUGAGAGCAUGAUCAGCCACACGGGCACUGAGACACGGGCCCGACUCCUACGGGAGGCAGCAGUAAGGAAUAUUGGUCAAUGGACGCAAGUCUGAACCAGCCAUGCCGCGUGGAGGAUGAAGGUCCUCUGGAUUGUAAACUUCUUUUAUCUGGGACGAAACACUUCUUUUCUAAGAGGCCUGACGGUACCAGAUGAAUAAGCACCGGCUAACUCCGUGCCAGCAGCCGCGGUAAUAC
Molecule: ribosomal RNA, 528 nt
Filed under: uncultured bacterium
Lineage: Bacteria
Description: bacterial SSU rRNA
Rfam family: Bacterial small subunit ribosomal RNA
Source: RNAcentral